AGAGUUUGAUUAUGGCUCAGAACGAACGCUGGCGGCAUGCCUCAUACAUGCAAGUCGAACGAAGUCUUCGGACUUAGUGGCGCACGGGUGAGUAACAUGUGGGAAUCUACCUGAAGGUUCGGAAUAACUGCGGGAAACUGUAGCUAAUACCGGAUGUGUCUGCAAAGAGAAAGAUUUAUCGCCUUCAGAUGAGCCCGCACUAGAUUAGCUAGUUGGUGAGGUAACUGCUCCACCAAGGCAACGAUCUAUAGCUGAUUUGAGAGGAUGAUCAGCCACACUGGGACUGAGACACGGCCCAGACUCCUACGGGAGGCAGCAGUAGGGAAUAUUGGACAAUGGGGGAAACCCUGAUCCAGCAAUGCCGCGUGAGUGAAGAAGGCCCUCGGGUUGUAAAACUCUUUCAUCAAUGAUGAUAAUGACAUUAGUUGAAGAAGAAGCUCCGGCUAACUUCGUGCCAGCAGCCGCGGUAAUACGAAGGGGGCUAGCGUUGUUCGGAAUCACUGGGCGUAAAGCGUAUGUAGGCGGAUCAAAAAGUUAGAUGUGAAAUCCCUGGGCUCAACCCAGGAACUGCAUUUAAAACUAGUGAUCUAGAAUUUGGUAAGGGUUAGUAGAAUUUCCAGUGUAGAGGUGAAAUUCGUAGAUAUUGGAAAGAAUACCAGAAGCGAAGGCGACUAACUAGGCCAUUUUUGACGCUGAGAUACGAAAGCGUGGGUAGCAAACAGGAUUAGAUACCCUGGUAGUCCACGCAGUAAACGAUGAGUGCUAGUCGCUGGUACAAUAGUAUCAGUGUCGAAGCUAACGCAUUAAGCACUC
RNAcentral lists this ribosomal RNA (813 nucleotides) under marine metagenome. RNAcentral describes it as "bacterial SSU rRNA". It matches the Rfam family "Bacterial small subunit ribosomal RNA", at positions 8 to 869 of the family's 1533-position model. The record is from RNAcentral.